UACGGGGGGGGCAAGCGUUGUUCGGAAUUAUUGGGUUUAAAGGGUGCGUAGGCGGUCUAUUAAGUCAGUGCUGAAAUAUCCCGGCUUAACCGGGAGGGUGGCAUUGAUACUGAUGGACUUGAGUGCAGUCGAGGUAGGCGGAAUUGACGGUGUAGCGGUGAAAUGCUUAGAUAUCGUCAAGAACACCGAUAGUGAAGACAGCUUACUAGGCUGUAACUGACGCUGAGGCACGAAAGUGUGGGGAUCAAACAGG
RNAcentral lists this ribosomal RNA (253 nucleotides) under uncultured bacterium. RNAcentral describes it as "partial 16S ribosomal RNA". It matches the Rfam family "Bacterial small subunit ribosomal RNA", at positions 524 to 776 of the family's 1533-position model. The record is from RNAcentral.